UACAGAGGGGGCAAGCGUUAUUCGGAUUCAUUGGGCGUAAAGGGUGCGUAGGCGGCGCGGUAAGUCGGGUGUGAAAUCUCGGGGCUUAACUCCGAAACUGCAUUCGAUACUGCCGUGCUUGAGGACUGGAGAGGAGACUGGAAUUUACGGUGUAGCGGUGAAAUGCGUAGAUAUCGUAAGGAAGACCAGUGGCGAAGGCGGGUCUCUGGACAGUUCCUGACGCUGAGGCACGAAGGCCAGGGGAGCAAACGGG
Molecule: ribosomal RNA, 253 nt
Filed under: uncultured bacterium
Lineage: Bacteria
Description: partial 16S ribosomal RNA
Rfam family: Bacterial small subunit ribosomal RNA
Source: RNAcentral